UGGUGUGUUUGUUUCUCUGUGCAGCUCUACCACAAAUUCCAUAGGAUCACCAAUGAAAACCUGCCAUCUUCCUUUUUUUUCUGCGCUGGAUAAAUACACAUCACAGCUUCUGAAACUGUACAAAAAGAAGAUGACUGGACGGUUUGGAGAGAAGCUGCAGCUUGUUGUGACAGCAUACGAAGAACAGGAAAAGAACAACAUCACUGCAGCCAGGACAGCAGCCCUUGCCCGCCUACCACUGUACCUGAAAGAGGAUUCGUCAGACAUAUUCAAGACUUGCACGGACGAGUUUGAGGUGUCCCAGGAGGAAGCUGUGGCUUUAAUGGCAGUGGUCACUGAAGAUGAGGUGCUGACAGGAGUUCCCUUUGACCUGCAGCAUGUAUCCAUCAUCCUGAAAGGCCAGGUUGUGACGUCUACAAGAUCAUGGACUGACUCACUUGUUGUUUUGUUUGGUCUGAUUUAUGCUCUACAUUUGAGCUGAAAAGCUAAGUGGCUUCUUUGAGUUCAUCCAGGUUGUCCUGCUGAAUCUUGAUGAAGGGAGAAAAAAGCUCAAACCAACGCUGCAGGCAUUGAGAAAUGAGCUGGAGUAAAUGAUCAAGAUCUUGGUUGUUUUUUAUUGUUCCUGAUAAUUAGUUCCUUAAAAAGAAAAAAAUCCCACACACUACUCUUGCUAAGUAUUAAUUCUGGUGCUCAAGGGCGAAGUCAUACAUUCUUCCUUUCAAGGGAAAGUUAAGUUGCUGUUAGUUAAUAUUGUGCCUGGGUGUUUCUUGUGUUUAUAUUGCCCUAAAGAAAUGGCAUGUCCAUAUAUAAAAAAUAAGUAAAGCUGUGUAAAUGACAACUUGAAAUGAACAUGGAAAUGUUUUGUAG
Molecule: long non-coding RNA, 867 nt
Filed under: Sparus aurata (gilthead seabream)
Lineage: Eukaryota; Metazoa; Chordata; Actinopteri; Spariformes; Sparidae
Description: lncRNA (ENSSAUG00010027234.1)
Source: RNAcentral